GGGGGUGAAAGGGCUCGACUUAAGUAUACGCUUUAAGAGUUGCGUGUCGAGGUUGCAAGGAGGCCUCGUUAACCACCUUGCACAUAUAAACGCAAACGCAGAAUAUGCAUAUGCGGGAAGUCCUGAAUUUAGCUUAAACUAAAUUUAGGCCUCCGAUUAAUCUGCCUGUGGGUUAAUCGGCGCAUUUAAGCAGGAUAGUCUUGACGAUUUUGUCUUUGUAGUCGUGACGAAACCCUAAAAGACUGGCUCAUUUUUGAUUUUGUCUAUCAAAGCAGGAUGAGCGAGAUUAAAUGAUAGGCUACACAUGUAGAUACUCUUAUUGUGUUAUUUAAGGACGCGGGUUCGACUCCCGCCACCUCCACCA
This 364-nucleotide transfer-messenger RNA is filed under the name Candidatus Omnitrophota. RNAcentral's name for it is "VGKH01 sp016867135 Standard tmRNA". It matches the Rfam family "transfer-messenger RNA". Rfam says of the family: Bacterial tmRNA, also known as 10Sa RNA or SsrA, is named for its dual tRNA and mRNA-like properties. Its role is to liberate the mRNA from a stalled ribosome. The record is from RNAcentral. RNAcentral also lists the same sequence under 1 other name. Lineage: Bacteria; Pseudomonadati.